This 460-nucleotide ribosomal RNA is filed under the name uncultured bacterium. RNAcentral's name for it is "partial 16S ribosomal RNA". It matches the Rfam family "Bacterial small subunit ribosomal RNA", at positions 338 to 795 of the family's 1533-position model. The record is from RNAcentral.
CCUACGGGUGGCAGCAGUGAGGAAUAUUGGUCAAUGGACGCAACUCUGAACCAGCCAUGUCGCGUGCAGGAUGACGGCCCUAUGAGUUGUAAACUGCUUUUGUACGAGGGUAAACCCCGACACGUGUAUCGGGUUGCAAGUAUCGCACGAAUAAGGAUCGGCUAACUCCGUGCCAGCAGCCGCGGUAAUACGGAGGAUCCGAGCGUUAUCCGGAUUUAUUGGGUUUAAAGGGUGCGUAGGCGGUUUGUUAAGUUAGAGGUGAAAUGCCGGGGCUCAACCCCGGAACUGCCGCUCAAACUGGUGGACUAGAGAGUGGUUGCGGUAGGCGGAAUGUAUGGUGUAGCGGUGAAAUGCUUAGAGAUCAUGCAGAACACCGAUUGCGAAGGCAGCUUACCAAAGUAUAACUGACGUUGAGGCACGAAGGCGUGGGUAGCGAACAGGAUUAGAUACCCUAGUAGUC